UACGUAGGGUGCGAGCGUUGUCCGGAAUUAUUGGGCGUAAAGGGCUCGUAGGCGGUCCAUCGCGUCGGGAGUGAAAAGCUGGGGCUUAACCCCAGUCCUGCUUUCGAUACGGGUGGACUAGAGGUAGGCAGGGGAGAAUGGAAUUCCUGGUGUAGCGGUGAAAUGCGCAGAUAUCAGGAGGAACACCGGUGGCGAAGGCGGUUCUCUGGGCCUUACCUGACGCUGAGGAGCGAAGGCAUGGGGAGCAAACAGG
RNAcentral lists this ribosomal RNA (253 nucleotides) under uncultured bacterium. RNAcentral's name for it is "partial 16S ribosomal RNA". It matches the Rfam family "Bacterial small subunit ribosomal RNA", at positions 524 to 776 of the family's 1533-position model. The record is from RNAcentral.